AUCUUUAGUUGGUUGCACAGUCAAGUCACAGACAGACAUGACAGUACACGUCAAAAAGUUUAACAACGGAGAUCGAGUAACAAGUUAACUGUUUUUAAAUAAUUUCAGCUGAAAUUUUCAUGUACCUUGCCAACUAACCUGUGCUUGUGACAAUAGAAAUGAAAUGGUCUAAUCCAAUAAUGCAAGCUCACAACCUAUGUCUUCUGAAGAAAAAUCAUUUCUGUUGCAGUUGGAAAUCUUCAAGAUAUUGAUGCCUUCGCCAGAUCCAAUUCUUUGUUGCUGAUGAGAGAGAGAAUUCAUCAUUUUGUGUGAGACCGUUUUAAUUAUAUGUAAAUUUUGCUUUAGAUUUUGCAUUUAGACUGAAUGAGAACCAUUUUGUUGCCCAUCCAAGGAUAAGGAAAAGGCCAACACCACCAACACUGUCAACAAGGUUCUUUGUUUGUUUACCCCUUGGCUGGUGAAAGAUUGUUGUGCAUCAAGUUAACCUGUGGCUGUUCCUUGUUGCUGGUGUGUUACGGAAGUUGCAGGAAGUUUAGCGUUUAUGUUAGCGAAGUUGCUGUCCGAUGUGGCAGUUUUUGCAGCCUAUGCUGGUGUCUGGUGAAAGAUCUUUCUGCAUCAAGUUCAACUGAUUGUUCCUUGGCGGUGGUGUUGUGUUACCAAAAUUGCAUCAUCAAUCAUCAUAUUGUUAAAUUGUCAUUGUGUCUGCAGUUAUCGUUCAGGAGUUAAGAAGGAACAAAAACAAAUAUGGGAAAAAAAAACCAGUUAAUCUAUAACCCUACAAACAUAUCCCUACCAAUUAAUCUCCAAACCCCACAAACUUAUACCUUCCAAUUCUUCAAACCCCACAAACAUACACCUUUUAAUCCUCAAAUUUAUACCCUAAACCACAUAAACUAAUGUUAAAACCUAGCAAUGUGAUGUCUGUAAUAAAUAAAAAAUUUAAUACCUAAAA
This is a long non-coding RNA of Daphnia pulex (common water flea), 952 nucleotides long. RefSeq lists it as uncharacterized. The transcript has 4 exons. The record is from RefSeq and is a predicted model, not a curated record. Lineage: Eukaryota; Metazoa; Arthropoda; Branchiopoda; Diplostraca; Daphniidae.